Non-coding RNA from Populus trichocarpa (black cottonwood), 85 nucleotides. Lineage: Eukaryota; Viridiplantae; Streptophyta; Magnoliopsida; Malpighiales; Salicaceae. The record is from Rfam.
AGAGGCCUAUGAUGAUUUGAAUUUGCCUACAUUGUCUGAUUGUCUAACAUAUGACAGAGACAUAUAAACUAGCUCUGAGGCCUCC